AAGGUUUGAAAAAACUGACCUAAGACAGUAGGGGAGCUGGACUCGUAAACAUCCUACCGAGGACAAAAACCAUAUCAUUAUGCGUAUUUUGUACUUUCGUGUCUAGGUUUGGCGCGUUUUUUUAUUAAAACA
Streptococcus sp. DD13 is the source of this 132-nucleotide regulatory RNA element. It matches the Rfam family "Ribosomal protein L10 leader". Rfam says of the family: This family is a putative r-protein leader autoregulatory structure found in B. subtilis and other low-GC Gram-positive bacteria. It is located in the 5' untranslated regions of mRNAs encoding ribosomal proteins L10 and L12 (rplJ-rplL). Lineage: Bacteria; Bacillati; Bacillota; Bacilli; Lactobacillales; Streptococcaceae. The record is from Rfam.